CAGUCGCCGCGGGAAUACGAAGGGUGCAAGCGUUAAUCGGAAUCACUGGGCGUAAAGCGUGCGUAGGCGGUUUGUUAAGUCUGUUGUGAAAUCCCCGGGCUCAACCUGGGAAUGGCAAUGGAUACUGGCAAGCUAGAGUGUGUCAGAGGAUGGUGGAAUUCCCGGUGUAGCGGUGAAAUGCGUAGAGAUCGGGAGGAACAUCAGUGGCGAAGGCGGCCAUCUGGGACAACACUGACGCUGAGGCACGAAAGCGUGGGGAGCAAACAGGAUUAGAUACCCCAGUAGUCCCUGUCUCUUAUAC
This 301-nucleotide ribosomal RNA is filed under the name uncultured bacterium. Its description in RNAcentral is "partial 16S ribosomal RNA". It matches the Rfam family "Bacterial small subunit ribosomal RNA", at positions 509 to 807 of the family's 1533-position model. The record is from RNAcentral.